UAACUGACAAAAUUAUUUUCAUAAUACAACUGCAAAUAUAUCUGAAGAUUACUUUUCCAGAAGAAAAGGAAAAUGGAAGUGAUGAAGAAUAGAAAACUGAGGAAGAAAAGAAGGAGAAAUAUCCUUCCAUUAUCAUCAUCAUUCUUGUUGAAAUUGCUGGAUUCAACAUAAACCAUUUCAAUUUAAUGUCUUUUUACUUUAUCUAAAUCUCAGACAGUUUAUGUCUUAUUUAGCUUUUGUUGGUGCUUUUUCCCUUUCAUGUUCAACUCUUUAGAGUGUGAUAUUGUAUUAAAUAUGGUUAUCAAAAACAACGAAGGAAAUCAUCUGUUCAUUCUGAUGAAACUGUUGAAGUAAAGGAGGAAUUGGACAAAAGACCGUUGAAAAUGAAGAGUAUCGAUGAAAAUGAAUGUGAUAGUGGGGAAAAUCGUCGUCAAAUACUCAGUGAUUAAUUAACUAUGGAUAUAUGUAAUUAAUUAUGCACAGAAAGACACACGCAAUCGACUAUUCCAUCAUCAACAAAUCAACCUUUAACAUAAUCAAUAACCAUGGGAUGAUUUACCAAAGUAAAUUAAACUGGUCAAAUUAAUGGAUACAGAGAGGAAUCCAAAGUAAUAAAAUACAAACGGCAAAAUAUACAAGCUCAGUUCAAUAGAAAGCAAUUCUCAUUCUCAGUAUUUGUAAAAUUAUGUUUGUGUGAAUAAUGUAAAUAAAGAUUGAUUUGAUUAUAUAAAAUCA
Molecule: non-coding RNA, 735 nt
Organism: Tetranychus urticae (two-spotted spider mite)
Lineage: Eukaryota; Metazoa; Arthropoda; Arachnida; Trombidiformes; Tetranychidae
Source: RefSeq, a predicted model, not a curated record